Molecule: long non-coding RNA, 581 nt
Organism: Nicotiana attenuata
Lineage: Eukaryota; Viridiplantae; Streptophyta; Magnoliopsida; Solanales; Solanaceae
Exons: 4
Source: RefSeq, a predicted model, not a curated record
GUUUGCAUCUCUUCUCUUUAACAUCUUAAUUCCCUUCUCUCUCUUUCUGCUCAACAUUCCAAUCUGAAAAUUUCUAGCCGUGCACGGAGAAAAAGCAGUGCAACAGCAAUUCAUCGUAAUCAAAGUGUAGCACCGAAAAAGGGCAAAAACGAGUUACAGAGUAAAGUGUGAGGGAGAAUUUAGAGUCAAAGGCACAAUUAAUUCUAAAGAAACUUAGAAGCACAAAAAUGUCCGUGCUGCUUGCUGUCUGUAGCAGCAGCUGUCUGUAGCAGUGAACGUCUUGAGAAGGUUGGAUUGAUCUUUCGCUAUUAUGGAAAUUCAAAGAAUAGAAGUCACAUUAUAGAAGAAAUGACUAAAGAUCCUCAGGAGACGAGCCUAAACUCGGAGCAAGCUUCUGCCUAAUUUACCUCUUAUUAUUAUUGUGGCUGAUUAUAAUGGAAGAUAUGGUAUUUUAAAUUGUAUUCGAGUACAUACAUUGUUAUUGUGCUCCCAUGGAUAUAAAUAUUGUACUAUUUGGUAACCAUACAUCUAUUUAUUGAUUUCUUUCUGAAAUACAUGUCCCUAAUUGUUGGAUUGAGUAA